This 456-nucleotide ribosomal RNA is filed under the name uncultured bacterium. RNAcentral describes it as "bacterial SSU rRNA". It matches the Rfam family "Bacterial small subunit ribosomal RNA", at positions 44 to 492 of the family's 1533-position model. The record is from RNAcentral.
AUGCUUUAACAUGCAAGUCGAACGGCAGCAUAGAGAGCUUGCUCUCUGAUGGCGAGUGGCGAACGGGUGAGUAAUAUAUCGGAACGUACCUAGUAAUGGGGAACAACUAGCCGAAAGGUUAGCUAAUACCGCAUACGACCUAUGGGUGAAAGCAGGGGAUCUUCGGACCUUGCGUUAUUAGAGCGGCCGAUAUCUGAUUAGGUAGUUGGUGGGGUAAAAGCCUACCAAGCCAACGAUCAGUAGCUGGUCUGAGAGGACGAUCAGCCACACUGGAACUGAGACACGGUCCAGACUCCUACGGGAGGCAGCAGUGGGGAAUUUUGGACAAUGGGGGCAACCCUGAUCCAGCCAUUCCGCGUGAGUGAAGAAGGCCUUCGGGUUGUAAAGCUCUUUCACAAGAGAAGAAAUCUUACUAUCAAAUAAAUAGUAAGGAUGACGGUAUCUUGAGAAGAAGCA